UCCGAGUUGACCCCGGCAGUCUCUUAUGAGUCCCCACCAUUACGUGCUGGCAACAUAAGACGAGGGUUGCGCUCGUUGCGGGACUUAACCCAACAUCUCACGACACGAGCUGACGACAGCCAUGCACCACCUGUACACCGACUAAAAGGGGCUACAUCUCUGCAGCUUUCCGGUAUAUGUCAAACCCAGGUAAGGUUCUUCGCGUUGCAUCGAAUUAAUCCACAUGCUCCGCCGCUUGUGCGGGCCCCCGUCAAUUCCUUUGAGUUUCAAUCUUGCGACCGUACUCCCCAGGCGGGAUACUUAAUGCGUUAGCUGCGGCACGGAAUCCGUUGAUAAGACCCCACACCUAGUACCCAACGUUUACGGCGUGGACUAC
RNAcentral lists this unclassified non-coding RNA (376 nucleotides) under uncultured Actinomycetes bacterium. RNAcentral describes it as "uncultured actinobacterium contains 16S-23S intergenic spacer region". The record is from RNAcentral. Lineage: Bacteria; Bacillati; Actinomycetota; Actinomycetes.